CCCUUAGAUGUUCUGGGCCGCACACGCGCUACACUGAAGGAGGCAGCGUGUACUCCUGGAUCGAAAGAUUUGGGUAACCCGCGAAUCUCCUUCGUGCUAGGGAUUGAGGUUUGCAAUUAUCCUUCAUGAACGAGGAAUUCCCAGUAAGUGCAAGUCAUAAGCUUGCGUUGAUUACGUCCCUGCCCUUUGUACACACCGCCCGUCGCUCCUACCGAUUGAAUGGUCCGGUGAAGCGCUCGGACCGCGGCCUCUUGACGGUUUUCCGUCGAUUGGCUGUGGGAAGUUCGUUAAACCUUAUCAUUUAGAGGAAGGAGAAGUCGUAACA
Molecule: ribosomal RNA, 325 nt
Filed under: uncultured eukaryote
Lineage: Eukaryota
Description: partial 18S ribosomal RNA
Rfam family: Eukaryotic small subunit ribosomal RNA
Source: RNAcentral